Ictidomys tridecemlineatus (thirteen-lined ground squirrel) is the source of this 341-nucleotide non-coding RNA. The record is from RefSeq and is a predicted model, not a curated record. Lineage: Eukaryota; Metazoa; Chordata; Mammalia; Rodentia; Sciuridae.
CAGCUCUGAAUUUAAACUAUGAUAUAUAAAGUGAAUCUAGCAGGGGCUUUUUCAAGGUGCAGGGGUCAAGCCAAACUUUAAAGAUGCUUUCCAAGUCCCCAAGGUGUGAUAGUAUCAAGAAGUGGGGCCUUCAAGAAGUAAGUCACCAGGACAGAAUCCUCAUGAGUGAGGUUGCUGACUUCAUGAAAGGGCUAGUGAGAUCUCUCCAGAGGACACAGCAACAAGGCACCAUCUUGAAAACAGAGCAACAGGGCUUCUGGACUGGCCCAAAGACUUGGCACAUUGAUUUUGGACUUUCCAUCUUUCACAACUGUGAAAAAUAAAUUUCUGUGGUUUAUAAA